CUUCUACUCCAUCCGUCCCAAAAUUCUUGUCUUAAAUUUGUGUAAAUACGGAUGUAUCAAGUCACGUUUUAGUAUUAGAUACAUCCGUAUCUAGACAAAUAUAAGACAAGAAUUUUGGGACGGAGGGAGUAGUUA
This is a non-coding RNA of Triticum aestivum (bread wheat), 135 nucleotides long. NCBI's taxonomy places the organism in Eukaryota, Viridiplantae, Streptophyta, Magnoliopsida, Poales, Poaceae. The record is from Rfam.